UACAGAGGGUGCGAGCGUUGUCCGGAAUUACUGGGCGUAAAGGGCGCGUAGGCGGAUACUUAAGUCGGGGGUGAAAGCCCGGGGCUCAACCUCGGAAUUGCCUUCGAUACUGGGUAUCUUGAGUUCGGGAGAGGCGAGUGGAAUGCCGAGUGUAGAGGUGAAAUUCGUAGAUAUUCGGCGGAACACCAGUGGCGAAGGCGACUCACUGGCCCGAUACUGACGCUGAUGCGCGAAAGCGUGGGGAGCAAACAGG
This 253-nucleotide ribosomal RNA is filed under the name uncultured bacterium. Its description in RNAcentral is "partial 16S ribosomal RNA". It matches the Rfam family "Bacterial small subunit ribosomal RNA", at positions 524 to 776 of the family's 1533-position model. The record is from RNAcentral.